GACGAACGCUGGCGGCGUGCUUAACACAUGCAAGUCGAACGGUAAGGCCCUUUUGGGGGUAUACGAGUGGCGAACGGGUGAGUAAAACGUGGGUGAUAUGCCCUGCUCUUUGGGGUAUGACUGGGGAACUGGGGGUAUUACCGGAUAGGACUACGCGAUGUAUGUCGUGUGGUGGAGAGCGUUUGCGGUGUGGGAUGGGCCCGCGGCUCAUCUGCUUGUUGGUGGGGUGUUGGCCUACCAAGGCGACGACGGGUAGCGGGCCCGGGAGGGUGUCCGGCGACACUGGGACUGAGAUACGGCCCAGACUCCUACGGGAGGCAGCAGUGGGGAAUAUUGCACAAUGGGCGCAAGCCUGAUGCAGCGACGCCGCGUGGGGGAUGACGGCCUUCGGGUUGUAAACCCUUUUCAGCACAGACGAAGCGUAAGUGACGGUAUGUGCAGAAGAAGCACCGGCCAACUACGUG
This 464-nucleotide ribosomal RNA is filed under the name uncultured bacterium. RNAcentral's name for it is "partial 16S ribosomal RNA". It matches the Rfam family "Bacterial small subunit ribosomal RNA", at positions 28 to 507 of the family's 1533-position model. The record is from RNAcentral.